UACAGAGGUGGCAAGCGUUGUUCGGAAUUACUGGGCGUAAAGGGCGCGUAGGCGGUCUUCUAAGUCUUGUGUGAAAUCCCUCGGCUCAACUGAGGAACUGCACGGGAUACUGGAAGACUUGAGUUCGGGAGAGGGAAGCGGAAUUCCGGGUGUAGCGGUGAAAUGCGUAGAUAUCCGGAGGAACACCGGUGGCGAAGGCGGCUUCCUGGACCGAGCACUGACGCUGAGGCGCGAAAGCUAGGGGAGCAAACGGG
This 254-nucleotide ribosomal RNA is filed under the name uncultured bacterium. Its description in RNAcentral is "partial 16S ribosomal RNA". It matches the Rfam family "Bacterial small subunit ribosomal RNA", at positions 524 to 776 of the family's 1533-position model. The record is from RNAcentral.